GACGAACGCUGGCGGCGUGCUUAACACAUGCAAGUCGAACGGUGAAGGGACUGGUUUUGCUGGUCCUGGAUGAGUGGCGAACGGGUGAGUAACACGUGAGUAACCUGCCCCCUUCUUCUGGAUAACCGCAUGAAAGUGUGGCUAAUACGGGAUAUUCUGGGUCUGUCGCAUGGUGGGCCUGGGAAAGAUUGCGCCUUUUUUGGUGUUUUUGGUGGGGGAUGGGCUCGCGGCCUAUCAGCUUGUUGGUGGGGUGAUGGCCUACCAAGGCGGUGACGGGUAGCCGGCCUGAGAGGGUGGACGGUCACACUGGGACUGAGACACGGCCCAGACUCCUACGGGAGGCAGCAGUGGGGAAUAUUGCACAAUGGGCGCAAGGCUGAUGCAGCGACGCCGCGUGAGGGAUGGAGGCCGUCGGGUUGUGAACCUCUUUCGCCAGUGAAGCAGGCCUGCCUCUUUUUGUGGGUGGGUUGACGGUAGCUGGAGAAGAAGCGCCGGCUAACUACGUG
RNAcentral lists this ribosomal RNA (506 nucleotides) under uncultured bacterium. RNAcentral's name for it is "partial 16S ribosomal RNA". It matches the Rfam family "Bacterial small subunit ribosomal RNA", at positions 28 to 507 of the family's 1533-position model. The record is from RNAcentral.